UACGAAGGGGCUAGCGUUGCUCGGAAUCACUGGGCGUAAAGGGUGCGUAGGCGGGUCUUUAAGUCAGGGUGAAAUCCUGGAGCUCAACUCCAGAACUGCCUUUGAUACUGAGGAUCUUGAGUUCGGGAGAGGUGAGUGGAACUGCGAGUGUAGAGGUGAAAUUCGUAGAUAUUCGCAAGAACACCAGUGGCGAAGGCGGCUCACUGGCCCGAUACUGACGCUG
RNAcentral lists this ribosomal RNA (223 nucleotides) under uncultured bacterium. Its description in RNAcentral is "partial 16S ribosomal RNA". It matches the Rfam family "Bacterial small subunit ribosomal RNA", at positions 524 to 748 of the family's 1533-position model. The record is from RNAcentral.